GAUAUUGGCUGCGGGUAUCCUUGUCAACGCCUAUACUCACUAGAGUAUCGCAUUGCAAGGAUUGAGAUCAUACCGCUUGAACCUGAUCAGCGCUCAUACCUGCGUAGGGAAGCCCCAGUGUCGAAAA
Molecule: regulatory RNA element, 127 nt
Organism: Moniliophthora roreri MCA 2997
Lineage: Eukaryota; Fungi; Basidiomycota; Agaricomycetes; Agaricales; Marasmiaceae
Rfam family: TPP riboswitch aptamer (THI element)
About the family: Vitamin B(1) in its active form thiamin pyrophosphate (TPP) is an essential coenzyme that is synthesised by coupling of pyrimidine and thiazole moieties in bacteria. The previously detected thiamin-regulatory element, thi box was extended, resulting in a new, highly conserved RNA secondary structure, the THI element, which is widely distributed in eubacteria and also occurs in some archaea.
Source: Rfam